UCUUGUGGAUAAGUUCAACCUUCUGGAUAACAUAGACCCAUACGGGUCUCACAAUUUUAUAAAGCUUGCAUUUCACUUUGGUAUAUGAUUUUUUGUCGCAUAGCAGUCCUGUAGCACUACUCCAUUUCAGCCAGGAGCCAGAAAAAUGUAAGGAAUGAACAAGGAUAUUCUUGUAAGAAGUGGCAACUGUCUAGGGUAAGCAAGACAAGAAGACGAAAAGGCCAGCAACUCCCUUAAUCUCAAGGUAGAGGAUGAAAACAAGAACCCUGCUGCACCUAUUUCUACAUAUGCUACUGCAUACACACUGUCAUUGCUCUCAUAGCAUCCAGGAUGCCCUGGUAACUAAAACUGCAGCUAAAUAAACAAGUCUACCUACUUAAUAUGCUACAUCAACAGGA
This 398-nucleotide long non-coding RNA is filed under the name Solanum tuberosum (potato). Its description in RNAcentral is "long non-coding RNA (STUB_LNC002224)". Lineage: Eukaryota; Viridiplantae; Streptophyta; Magnoliopsida; Solanales; Solanaceae. The record is from RNAcentral.